UACGGGGGGGGCAAGCGUUGUUCGGAAUUACUGGGCGUAAAGGGCGCGUAGGCGGCGACCCAAGUCAGAUGUGAAAGUCCUGGGCUUAACCUGGGGACUGCAUUUGAUACUGGGUUGCUUGAAUUCGGGAGAGGAUAGCGGAAUUCCCAGUGUAGAGGUGAAAUUCGUAGAUAUUGGGAAGAACACCGGUGGCGAAGGCGGCUAUCUGGACCGACAUUGACGCUGAGGCGCGAAAGCCAGGGGAGCAAACGGG
RNAcentral lists this ribosomal RNA (253 nucleotides) under uncultured bacterium. RNAcentral describes it as "partial 16S ribosomal RNA". It matches the Rfam family "Bacterial small subunit ribosomal RNA", at positions 524 to 776 of the family's 1533-position model. The record is from RNAcentral.